Molecule: long non-coding RNA, 2458 nt
Filed under: Salmo salar (Atlantic salmon)
Lineage: Eukaryota; Metazoa; Chordata; Actinopteri; Salmoniformes; Salmonidae
Description: lncRNA (ENSSSAG00000098031.1)
Source: RNAcentral
UCCCUUUUACAUUUUUCUCAAGUCGUUGCAGAAACACCAAAUCAGCACACUGUCUUACUCCUCUCUUCCUCAUUUUGGCACUCUUCUCUGUUUGAUGGAGAGAUGAGACGAGAAAAGAGACACAGACUUCACAGUAGAAGUUCGAUAUCAGUUGCCAUGUGCCAAACAAAACUGGAAGACUAUUUGGCGAGAGAGAAAAGGAGGAGAGACAAAAGAAGAGAGAAGUGAACCGAAGAGUGAAAAGGAGGGGAUAAGGAGGAGGAGAGAGGAGCAGUUCACGCCCACACAUUCAUCCAUAUCCAAAGCCUGGCUUAUGGACAUGUUUCUACUGCGUUAGUCUCUGCUAUGCAAAUAGUGUAUUGACUUGAGCAGAAUCUCUGUUGUUUUAUUGUUACUGUGCUGCAUUGCUUUCUCUAUGUCCUUAACAAGGGCUCCAAGCCAAGGUCAUUGUGUUGUUUAGCCUAAUGAUUGUAUAAGAAUAGUUCUCCUGUCUCCUUCUUGCUUCCCCGGUUCUGUGUCUUGUUCUCUCCCUCUUAAAGAUCCCGAGGUUGCUGAAGGAGGAGCAGGGGGUAUAGGUAUUUGUUUACGUUUUAGUCCCCCGUGGAAAUUGAACCCACGGCCCUGGCGUUGCAGGCGCCAUGCUGUAGCAACUGAGCCACAAGCUACCUAAUCUAAUGAUUAGGUCCCUAAUGUUUAGUAAUGAGGCAUUUUUUUGUGUGUGUUUUGUGUGUUUCUGUUUUGUUUUUGUUUCGAGGUUUGUGGUGGAACCCAACUCUGUCUGCUGGAUCUCCUGUUUGGUAGUCCGCUUGUUGCAGGAGGCCAGGGGGCAUAGCUGGGAGGAUCGUCAGGUCUGUUCUCACCAUACAACACCCUCUCCACUCAUCCACACGCUCCAUACACUACCGAUCCUACCGAUGUCCCCAGCUUCUGUCAUUUUUUCCAAAUGUAUUAUUAUUUCGUUUAAUACGUUUCUUCCUUUUCACGUUUAAGUCAUGCGUGGUCCCCCUUUGUUGUUACGAACUACGAGCCAGGUUGUAACAUUAUCUUUACAACUUAUUUGUUACAGACAGAGAAUAACAUUUAAUGCAGCACUCGUGCAGUGAGCGAGGGUUUCCCUUGAUUUGCCUUCACUCGGCCUACGUACUCAGUGCCCCAGAGAGACCAACCAAGUCACGCUGCAGUAAAAACCAUCACAUGAACCCUCUGCAGAGAGAAGAGAAUAGAAUUCAUGAGCUUAGGAAUAGAAUUUUUACAAUUUGAAUUGUACCUGCAGGCUGAUUUCCGAACAGGGCCAGAGGAUUGGAUUUGUAGAUUUAAAGAGAUGUCAUCCAACAAAUAUAAAAGCAGAAACUACAUGUGUAACUGGCUUUGGGGGGGAGGAGAGAGAGGAAGAGAGCGGUGGAACAUGAACAUACAAGAUUAUCGAGGAGUAAAGAACAAAGCUCAGGCCAGGUUCAGCUGUAAUUGAACAUGGGAAAAACUGGUCCAGGAAUAAUCAUUUUGCGAGCCAUUGUCACACGAGGAAGAUAGUGUUGGGCACAACUUGCACCAACAUACAAAGGUACAUUUUAGUAGACGCUCUUAUCCAGGGCGACUUACAGUAGUGAAUGCAUACAUUUCAUAAAUUUUUUCUCCAUACUGGUCCCCCGUGGGAAUCGAACCCACAACCCUGGCGUUGCAAACACCAUGCUCUACCAACUGAGCCAUACGGGACAAGGUGUUGCAGAGGCUUGGGGAGGAAAAGGUGUAUAUGUGCUGUUGUCUAGAAUCGGCCCAUAUCAAAUCUUUUAUCAGGAUCUCCACAGAACUGGUCCAAAUAUGGAGCUGGAAAGUGAGACCAUCAAUGCCUACAUGUUCCAUCUGGUGCAGAAUUUUAAUAGGCAGUCAACCGAGCAAACCUUCUACAUUGACACCUUUGAAAUUACUGGCAUUUGGGGGAGCAAGAAAUCAAAACUUACGAUUGAUCCAAUGAUGUACAAGUACAUUAUUGGCAUCAUCAAUGAACACAACCACUGGACUGUGACGGUUAUGCUGCCAUCCAAAAAGAGGGCUCUGUUCCUCGACCCAAUGUGGGAAAAGUUCCAGAAAGAUAAAUAGAUGCCUGGGGGUGACAAGAUCAUUCCUGAGAGAGAAGGGGUGUAAUAUCUCCAGAUGGGCGUGUGGUACCCUUCCUCACCCAUGCCAACAAGAUGUUACUUCUUGUGGGGUCUUUGCCUUGAAAUUUGCUGAAUGUGUUCUGAAGGAGAAGUCGAUUGUCUUUUCAAAUACGGACAAAGAUGAUAACAUCAUGAGAGAAGAAAUAGCAGUCACUCUCCUCCAAAACACUGAUGACCUGAGCCAACUGUACCACUUCUGUGGGGAGGUGGACAAUAAUGAGGAAGACACUAACUGGAUUUCUUGUGACCGCUGCCCACGAUGGUUCCACCAGUCCUGUAUGAAAACCAUCCCAUCAUUGGAG